This 497-nucleotide ribosomal RNA is filed under the name uncultured bacterium. Its description in RNAcentral is "partial 16S ribosomal RNA". It matches the Rfam family "Bacterial small subunit ribosomal RNA", at positions 29 to 507 of the family's 1533-position model. The record is from RNAcentral.
AGUGAACGCUGGCGGUAGGCCUAACACAUGCAAGUCGAACGAACGCACAGUAAGCGCUUGCUCUUACGGUUGGCGGCGGACGGGGGGGUAAGAAUUAAAUAGCCUACCUAUUUUACUGGGGGAACAUCGGGGGACAAGUACUAAUACCACAUAAUAUAUUGAACGGCAUAAAUCAGUGGUUCUAGGCACUUUUGCUGUCACAUAUAGCUGUAUCCGUGUCGGAUUAUCUAGUUGGUAAGGUAACGGCACACCAAGGCGACGAUGCGUAGCUGAUCUGAGAGGGUGAUCAGCCACACUGGAACUGAGACACGGUCCAGACUCCUACGGGAGGCAGCAGUGGGGAAUAUUGGGCAAUGGGCGAAAGCCUGAUCGAGCCAUGCCGCGUGAGUGAUGAAGGCCUUCGGGUUGUAAAACCCUGUUAUUAGGAAAGAAAAGCAGCAUGAGAAUACCCCGCUGUUCUGACGGUACCCAAAGAGUAAGCAACGGCUAACUUCGUG